GGGAGUCCGCUGUCCUCACAGCAAGAAACGGAAGGAGGUUCCCUCAGGGCUCUUUUGCCUCCCGGAAGUACAAGGCGCCUCCAUCUUCACAGCAUGAAGGAAGCCGAGGAGAUGCCAUGUGAGGGUGCAGCGAGGAGUUGGGCUGUCUAAAAGCAAAGAAAGAGAUUGCAUCAGACACCGCAUCUGCUGACACCUUGUUCUUGGACUUCCAGCUUCCAAAACCGCGAGAAAUAAAUGUCUGUGUCUAAACCCCAACCCUACCACCUCAACUGCCGUGUGUGGUGUUUUGUGAUGGCAGCCCCAGCUGACUGAGACACCUGGUUAGACCGGAAUAAGCAGGCUGCAAUCGGUAGCAGUCACCAUUGAACAUCCUUGAAGCAAUUCUUCCAAAAUUACCUUGCAUCAAAGACUGCACAAGAACUGCUCUAAGCGGAAGGACUGAUGUCGGCAACCAGGGUUCCACCAGGGGCUGCAGACAGCCCUUGACCUUCAGGUGGGAAGGUGUCACUGAGUUCAGACCCUCUGGCAAUCCCUAGCUAUCAACAUUUUGAUAAGAAAAUAAGUGGAAAGGUAGAACUGGAAGAUUUUGCUGAAAGAUUGGACAUGGCAUUCAGAGAAACAGAGGUUUUAAUGACAAACUCCAAGUUUUUGGCUGGAGCAACUGGAAGAAUGAGGUUGCCAUGAACCGAAAAGAGAGAUUGCAGAAGUAACCAAAUUUACUCACGUAGGCCAGGAAUUUCUAUGACGUGUUCCAAAUUCAGCCUCUCACUGAACACUUCCAGAGCAAGGCAACAUAAACAUCUGCAAGAAGAACAUUGUGUGAGAAAUAUCAAGUGAGAGUGGAAGAGUCUGCGGAGGGCCUCCCUGGGGCUCACCUGUGCUUUUGCCUGAGCUUCACCGUGUCAAGCACUUUUUCCCUCUGGAGGAAGCAGCUUUCACCUUGGAAGAAUCUUGACCUUGCCAUUCAAAGUCACCAGACAGGGAAUCUGCCAGUGCCUUGAUCUUAGACUUCCCAGCUUCUGUAACUGUGAGCAAUAAAUGUAUGCUGCUUAUAAACUA
RNAcentral lists this long non-coding RNA (1059 nucleotides) under Homo sapiens (human). RNAcentral's name for it is "uncharacterized LOC102724087, transcript variant 10 (LOC102724087)". The record is from RNAcentral. Lineage: Eukaryota; Metazoa; Chordata; Mammalia; Primates; Hominidae.